Molecule: long non-coding RNA, 578 nt
Filed under: Vulpes vulpes (red fox)
Lineage: Eukaryota; Metazoa; Chordata; Mammalia; Carnivora; Canidae
Description: lncRNA (ENSVVUG00000012321.1)
Source: RNAcentral
CGCCCCGGGGCUGAAAUAGCUGGAGAUUGCGCGGUAGGGCACUCACCUCAGAGCGGCUGCGCUACCGUGGGCCUGCGCCGUGGAGACUGCGACCGCGCCGGCUCCUCGCAGCCUCCUGCCACCAGCGGCAAUGGCGAGCGCUGCCGCCUCUGCCGCCGCCGCCGCCGCCGAGGAGGGGGAGGGGAGGGAGAGGAGGCACGCACGCCGGGGCUGAAAUAGCUGGAGAUUGCGCGGUAGGGCACUCACCUCAGAGCGGCUGCGCUACCGUGGGCCUGCGCCGUGGAGACUGCGACCGCGCCGGCUCCUCGCAGCCUCCUGCCACCAGCGGCAAUGGCGAGCGCUGCCGCCUCUGCCGCCGCCGCCGCCGCCGAGGAGGGGGAGGGGAGGGAGAGGAGGCACGCACGCGACGCACGGGCUCAGCUUCCCCGCCCGGCGGCCGCCAUGAUGGGGAGGUCGGCGCUGCCUCGGCGGGGCGGGCCCGGAGGGGUUUCUGGGCGAGGGUCCCUGCCGGCCCGUGCGGUCUCCUGGAGGCCACAUUUAGUUCGAAAGCCCCGAGAAUUCUAGCACCUCCUGAAUGA